This 286-nucleotide long non-coding RNA is filed under the name Elaeis guineensis (African oil palm). Its description in RNAcentral is "long non-coding RNA (EGUI_LNC006263)". The record is from RNAcentral. Lineage: Eukaryota; Viridiplantae; Streptophyta; Magnoliopsida; Arecales; Arecaceae.
GCUUCCUUGCUUUGUUAAGCUGAUUCAAGAUGAAUGCGAGAAGAAAAAAGGCAUUAACUCGAAGCCCAAAGUGACAGGGGAAGUCCAAGAUGUUAGCUGUGACGAGGAGCUAACUCGACAGCUUCAGAACCAAUUGGAUUUAGAGGAUAUCUGUACCAGUGUCUUUUUGGCAACCGUUCUACUUUGAGAUAUAAUUCAAAAAUAUUGCUGUUGUACUACUGAUACUGAUACUUGCAGUAUGGAAAGGCAGGACAGGCAGUGGCAGAAAGAAAACUCAGAGAAGGGG